ACUCGGCUGACGAGUCCCAAAUAGGACGAAACGCGCAUCCUGGAU
Molecule: non-coding RNA, 45 nt
Filed under: Schistosoma haematobium
Lineage: Eukaryota; Metazoa; Platyhelminthes; Trematoda; Strigeidida; Schistosomatidae
Source: RNAcentral